This 234-nucleotide unclassified non-coding RNA is filed under the name rhizosphere metagenome. RNAcentral's name for it is "partial ribosomal RNA internal transcribed spacer region". The record is from RNAcentral.
GAAUGAACGUGAGCAGGGUUGUCGCUGGCCUCUGUCAUAGGAGGCAUGUGCACACCUUGUUCAUUGCCACCUUCACACCUCUGUGCACUUCUCAUGGGUUGGGUUGCGCCGUUGCACUGUGCAAUGGCAAAGCCUGUCUCAUGUGCUUUUAUCACACACACUUUGUUUGUCAUAGAAUGUUACUCGUGCAUGAAUGCAUAUAAUACAACUUUCAGCAACGGAUCUCUUGGCUCU